GCGGGUGCUAACGUCCGUCGUGAAGAGGGAAACAACCCAGACCGCCAGCUAAGGUCCCAAAGUCAUGGUUAAGUGGGAAACGAUGUGGGAAGGCCCAGACAGCCAGGAUGUUGGCUUAGAAGCAGCCAUCAUUUAAAGAAAGCGUAAUAGCUCACUGGUCGAGUCGGCCUGCGCGGAAGAUGUAACGGGGCUAAACCAUGCACCGAAGCUGCGGCAGCGACACUGUGUGUUGUUGGGUAGGGGAGCGUUCUGUAAGCCUGUGAAGGUGGCCUGUGAGGGUUGCUGGAGGUAUCAGAAGUGCGAAUGCUGACAUAAGUAACGAUAAAGCGGGUGAAAAGCCCGCUCGCCGGAAGACCAAGGGUUCCUGUCCAACGUUAAUCGGGGCAGGGUGAGUCGACCCCUAAGGCGAGGCCGAAAGGCGUAGUCGAUGGGAAACGGGUUAAUAUUCCCGUACUUGGUGUUACUGCGAAGGGGGGACGGAGAAGGCUAUGUUGGCCGGGCGACGGUUGUCCCGGUUUAAGCGUGUAGGUGUGUGUUCCAGGUAAAUCCGGUUCACUUUAACACUGAGGCGUGACGACGAGGCACUACGGUGCUGAAGCAACAAAUGCCCUGCUUCCAGGAAAAGCCUCUAAGCAUCAGGUAACAUCAAAUCGUACCCCAAACCGACACAGGUGGUCAGGUAGAGAAUACCAAGGCGCUUGAGAGAACUCGGGUGAAGGAACUAGGCAAAAUGGUGCCGUAACUUCGGGAGAAGGCACGCUGACACGUAGGUGAAGUGAUUUACUCACGGAGCUGAAGUCAGUCGAAGAUACCAGCUGGCUGCAACUGUUUAUUAAAAACACAGCACUGUGCAAACACGAAAGUGGACGUAUACGGUGUGACGCCUGCCCGGUGCCGGAAGGUUAAUUGAUGGGGUCAGCGCAAGCGAAGCUCCUGAUCGAAGCCCCGGUAAACGGCGGCCGUAACUAUAACGGUCCUAAGGUAGCGAAAUUCCUUGUCGGGUAAGUUCCGACCUGCACGAAUGGCGUAAUGAUGGCCAGGCUGUCUCCACCCGAGACUCAGUGAAAUUGAACUCGCUGUGAAGAUGCAGUGUACCCGCGGCAAGACGGAAAGACCCCGUGAACCUUUACUAUAGCUUGACACUGAACAUUGAGCCUUGAUGUGUAGGAUAGGUGGGAGGCUUUGAAGCGUGGACGCCAGUCUGCGUGGAGCCGACCUUGAAAUACCACCCUUUAAUGUUUGAUGUUCUAACGUGGACCCGUGAUCCGGGUUGCGGACAGUGUCUGGUGGGUAGUUUGACUGGGGCGGUCUCCUCCUAAAGAGUAACGGAGGAGCACGAAGGUUGGCUAAUCCUGGUCGGACAUCAGGAGGUUAGUGCAAUGGCAUAAGCCAGCUUGACUGCGAGCGUGACGGCGCGAGCAGGUGCGAAAGCAGGUCAUAGUGAUCCGGUGGUUCUGAAUGGAAGGGCCAUCGCUCAACGGAUAAAAGGUACUCCGGGGAUAACAGGCUGAUACCGCCCAAGAGUUCAUAUCGACGGCGGUGUUUGGCACCUCGAUGUCGGCUCAUCACAUCCUGGGGCUGAAGUAGGUCCCAAGGGUAUGGCUGUUCGCCAUUUAAAGUGGUACGCGAGCUGGGUUUAGAACGUCGUGAGACAGUUCGGUCCCUAUCUGCCGUGGGCGCUGGAGAACUGAGGGGGGCUGCUCCUAGUACGAGAGGACCGGAGUGGACGCAUCACUGGUGUUCGGGUUGUCAUGCCAAUGGCACUGCCCGGUAGCUAAAUGCGGAAGAGAUAAGUGCUGAAAGCAUCUAAGCACGAAACUUGCCCCGAGAUGAGUUCUCCCUGAGACUUAAAGUCUCCUGAAGGAACGUUGAAGACGACGACGUUGAUAGGCCGGGUGUGUAAGCGCAGCGAUGCGUUGAGCUAACCGGUACUAAUGAACCGUGAGGCUUAACCUUAC
Molecule: ribosomal RNA, 1958 nt
Filed under: Salmonella enterica
Lineage: Bacteria; Pseudomonadati; Pseudomonadota; Gammaproteobacteria; Enterobacterales; Enterobacteriaceae
Description: partial 23S ribosomal RNA
Rfam family: Bacterial large subunit ribosomal RNA
Source: RNAcentral